AACGGUAGCACAGAGAGCUUGCUCUCGGGUGACGAGUGGCGGACGGGUGAGUAAUGUCUGGGAAACUGCCUGAUGGAGGGGGAUAACUACUGGAAACGGUAGCUAAUACCGCAUAACGUCGCAAGACCAAAGAGGGGGACCUUCGGGCCUCUUGCCAUCAGAUGUGCCCAGAUGGGAUUAGCUAGUAGGUGGGGUAACGGCUCACCUAGGCGACGAUCCCUAGCUGGUCUGAGAGGAUGACCAGCCACACUGGAACUGAGACACGGUCCAGACUCCUACGGGAGGCAGCAGUGGGGAAUAUUGCACAAUGGGCGCAAGCCUGAUGCAGCCAUGCCGCGUGUAUGAAGAAGGCCUUCGGGUUGUAAAGUACUUUCAGCGGGGAGGAAGGUGUUGCGGUUAAUAACCGCAGCAAUUGACGUUACCCGCAGAAGAAGCACCGGCUAACUCCGUGCCAGCAGCCGCGGUAAUACGGAGGGUGCAAGCGUUAAUCGGAAUUACUGGGCGUAAAGCGCACGCAGGCGGUCUGUCAAGUCGGAUGUGAAAUCCCCGGGCUCAACCUGGGAACUGCAUUCGAAACUGGCAGGCUAGAGUCUUGUAGAGGGGGGUAGAAUUCCAGGUGUAGCGGUGAAAUGCGUAGAGAUCUGGAGGAAUACCGGUGGCGAAGGCGGCCCCCUGGACAAAGACUGACGCUCAGGUGCGAAAGCGUGGGGA
Molecule: ribosomal RNA, 711 nt
Filed under: uncultured Enterobacterales bacterium
Lineage: Bacteria; Pseudomonadati; Pseudomonadota; Gammaproteobacteria; Enterobacterales
Description: bacterial SSU rRNA
Rfam family: Bacterial small subunit ribosomal RNA
Source: RNAcentral